UGGCCCCUGGACAGGACGUGGAGACCUGGGCCUGCUGGUAGGGCCCAGCUAAGGCCCCUGAGAGCUCCAUGCAGGGUGGCAGUUGGGAGAGCAGGAGGUCCCUGGUGCAGGGCUGCAGAGAGGGCUUAGGAUGAGCAGAGAGGAGUUCGGGGCUGGGUGUGGCCAAGGGGGAGGACAAAGACUACAAGUUAGGGUAGGGAGCAGGUGGCAAGAUCUGCUGGUCACAUCCUGAGACACAGUGGACUCAAUUCCAAAGACGGUGACAAGACCCUGUAGGGAUCCUCGCCUGAUCAGGAAGGGGUCAUCCGCAAGGGCUGGCUGACUAUCAAUAAUAUUGGCAUCAUGAAAGGGGGCUCCAAGGAGUACUGGUUUGUGCUGACUGCUGAGAAUCUGUCCUGGUACAAGGACGAUGAGGAGAAAGAGAAGAAAUACAUGCUGUCUGUGGACAACCUCAAGCUGCGGGACGUGGAGAAGGGCUUCAUGUCGAGCAAGCACAUCUUUGCCCUCUUUAACACAGAGCAGAGGGUGGUGGCAGUACUUGUCCUCUUCUUCUUGACCCAAGGCUGACUCUAGUGGGCCCUCUGCUACUCAGAGACGAGGGUUCAGUCCAGCUGCCAUCAGAGGGGUCCUUAGAGAGCCACGGAGGAAGCUGGUGGGAUCUGGGCCCCAAGCUAGAGACUUCACUGACUAUGGUUGUCCUCUUAUCAAAGGAAUGUCUACAAGGAUU
Molecule: small RNA, 727 nt
Filed under: Pongo abelii (Sumatran orangutan)
Lineage: Eukaryota; Metazoa; Chordata; Mammalia; Primates; Hominidae
Description: processed transcript
Source: RNAcentral